GAGUUUGUAUCCUGGCUCAGGAUGAACGCUAGCUACAGGCUUAACACAUGCAAGUCGAGGGGAAACGGACAUCGAAAGCUUGCUUUUGUAUGGGCGUCGACCGGCGCACGGGUGAGUAACGCGUAUCCAACCUGCCCACCACUUGGGGAUAACCUUGCGAAAGUAAGACUAAUACCCAAUGACGUCUCUAGAAGACAUCUGAAAGAGAUUAAAGAUUUAUCGGUGAUGGAUGGGGAUGCGUCUGAUUAGCUUGUUGGCGGGGUAACGGCCACCAAGGCGACGAUCAGUAGGGUUCUGAGAGGAAGGUCCCCACAUUGGAACUGAGACAGGUCCAAACUCCUACGGAGGCA
This 350-nucleotide ribosomal RNA is filed under the name uncultured bacterium. Its description in RNAcentral is "bacterial SSU rRNA". It matches the Rfam family "Bacterial small subunit ribosomal RNA", at positions 9 to 350 of the family's 1533-position model. The record is from RNAcentral.